UGUAGAUGCGGCUUGCCUGAGAUGCCUAUAUUUGCUGUUGCCUUUUACAGCGAAAUUAGGACAGAAGUGGUUUUUCGGUUCUUCAUUCUGGUGCGGCUCUGUGAACCUGCCUGCAAUGCUCAUGGCAAAUAUGAGAUCUGCAUUUAUUAUUUUUGCCAUGGUACUUCUCAAUAAAAAUGUUGCUGGCUACUGCCUACCGAUACACCGUCUGCACGAGACAUGGCUCCAGAAGCUCCAUUCGGAAAGCAAAGAGAAUCCGGACUAGGCAAUGCUACGGGCGGUAUCUUUUGUGAGCGGGCAAGACCUCGGCAGGCUUUUCGCCGUUAAUUUUUGCCUACGGUUGGAAUAUUAUAAUCUCCCUACAAAUAAAGGUCUUCCACUUUGAGAACAACACUGAAAUGUUCUGUACAAGCUGGUAAUAUACCCAUUUGUACACGGCUGAGUUUUUGCAAUACAAGCAGGUAGUAUACCGGCGUUCAACAACGGCUAAACCUGGCCGAACAGUUGUCGCAUUCAGCAACUAACUCAUCAUCAGUUGGUAAUGGGAGGAGAUGUGAAUAUGAG
This is a non-coding RNA of Dermacentor andersoni, 564 nucleotides long. Lineage: Eukaryota; Metazoa; Arthropoda; Arachnida; Ixodida; Ixodidae. The record is from RefSeq and is a predicted model, not a curated record.